AGAACGUUUUGUGCUCUUUGCGCAGGCCUUGUGUUUACGGGCGCGUUGUGUCCGUGCACGUCUUCCCCGACAAGUGCAUGUGCAUCGGUGCAAUUCACGCACAUGCGAGGUCGAGAUGGAGGAAUUCGCGCACAAUAUUAAUAUUCACCUACAUCUUAACCUGCACGGCGCUGCUGCAGUUAUAUUAUAUGCAGCGUCAUCGUCAGACGAUAACGAAGUGAUCGACGUCGUCCGUGAAUUUUCAAUAAUGAUCGAAAACGAGAACGGCAGGCAAAGAUAACUGCACCGGUGCACCGAGUCUCCUGCAUUGUGCACGUCAUACCUGCAGCAGCAACAGCAACAGCAGCUGAUAUUCGAAAAAACCUGCACUUAAA
Molecule: long non-coding RNA, 374 nt
Organism: Metopolophium dirhodum (rose-grain aphid)
Lineage: Eukaryota; Metazoa; Arthropoda; Insecta; Hemiptera; Aphididae
Exons: 3
Source: RefSeq, a predicted model, not a curated record